This 546-nucleotide ribosomal RNA is filed under the name uncultured Glomus. RNAcentral's name for it is "SSU rRNA". It matches the Rfam family "Eukaryotic small subunit ribosomal RNA", at positions 548 to 1098 of the family's 1831-position model. The record is from RNAcentral. Lineage: Eukaryota; Fungi; Glomeromycota; Glomeromycetes; Glomerales; Glomeraceae.
UUGGAGGGCAAGUCUGGUGCCAGCAGCCGCGGUAAUUCCAGCUCCAAUAGCGUAUAUUAAAGUUGUUGCAGUUAAAAAGCUCGUAGUUGAAUUUCGGGAUCAGUAUGUUGGUCGUGCUUCGGUACGUACUGUCAUUACUGGUUUCUACCUUCUGAAGAACCUUGAUGUCAUUAAUUUGGUGUCUUGGGGAAUCAGGACUGUUACUUUGAAAAAAUUAGAGUGUUUAAAGCAAGCAUACGCUUGAAUACAUUAGCAUGGAAUAAUGAAAUAGGACGUUUGAUUCUAUUUUGUUGGUUUCUAGGAUCGACGUAAUGAUUAAUAGGGAUAGUUGGGGGCAUUAGUAUUCAAUUGUCAGAGGUGAAAUUCUUGGAUUUAUUGAAGACUAACUACUGCGAAAGCAUUUGCCAAGGAUGUUUUCAUUAAUCAAGAACGAAAGUUAGGGGAUCGAAGACGAUCAGAUACCGUCGUAGUCUUAACCAUAAACUAUGCCGACUAGGGAUCGGAUGAUGUUAUUUUUAAUGACUCAUUCGGCGCCUUACGGGAAAC